UAUGCCUUCUCCUGAAGAAAUGUGGAGAUACAAUUUGAUUGCAACAAAAUAAUUCUCACACAAAACAGUAGUUUCGUAUUACCACUCAAUUUCAAAAUGACUUACAACUGCAAACUGUUCUAAGCAAUUCAGAACUACUUCUCACUUCAUCCAACAAAUUUCAUAGUUAAUGGCACUCUGUGGUUAAGAAAAACUAUCGUACAUAGGAUAUAAGAGCCUCAGUUAAACAAAUAACGAUUUUAUUUAAGAUAAUACCUAUUUCAGAGUACGUAAAAUCAAGUAUUAUCCUAGUACUUCUGCCACAAAGA
Molecule: unclassified non-coding RNA, 308 nt
Filed under: Hevea brasiliensis (rubber tree)
Lineage: Eukaryota; Viridiplantae; Streptophyta; Magnoliopsida; Malpighiales; Euphorbiaceae
Source: RNAcentral